Molecule: long non-coding RNA, 636 nt
Filed under: Mytilus galloprovincialis (Mediterranean mussel)
Lineage: Eukaryota; Metazoa; Mollusca; Bivalvia; Mytilida; Mytilidae
Source: RNAcentral
AAAAUAUUUAUUUAAAUCAAUUUUGGGAAAACGUUAUUGUAAUUUGAAGAAACAUAAUCAAUAAACUACACUUUGAACAUUAAGCUGUAUCCUAAUCGUUUUGAAAAAUAAGAAGUUUUUGUAGUGAAAUUUAACUAAGGCUUUAUAUGUUAACCUCCUUAGGAUCAAACACAAAUCAUAUUCCAAACAGACACGCAUCCACUGAAAUCUAUGAAUCAGAAUUCUGAUUUUCUUUUAUUAGAACUACAAAUGUUGUACUCUAGAACAGAGUAAAGUUAAAUGACCGAAAGACCAUUUUAAAUUAUUCUUGUCCUAUUGUUUGUUGUCAUAAAUGAAAUUCGCUAUCGUCACAUGUUGCAAAGAAUUACUAGUAUCGUCAAUGUACAUUGUAGACGGUUUGUGUGACGCGAGGUUUGCCUAGGCACAACACAAAACCAGGUUAAACCCACCAUUUUUUUCCUAAAAUAUCCUGGACCAAGUCAGAAAAAUGUCACUUGUUAUCUUAUAGUUUGUUUCUAUGUAUGUUGCAUUGUCGUUUGUCUUUGUUGCACUUUAGUGCCUCUCCUUCUUGUAAAAAAAAAAACACCAAGAAUUUGUAAAUGAGAUUGUUAUGAUUAAUUGUGGAACUGUACCUCA